Molecule: long non-coding RNA, 849 nt
Organism: Chelonia mydas (Green sea turtle)
Lineage: Eukaryota; Metazoa; Chordata; Testudines; Cheloniidae
Exons: 3
Source: RefSeq, a predicted model, not a curated record
UCUUUGCUCCUAGAUGUAUACCUUUAUAUUUAACCUAAUUAAAACAUACAUUGCUUGCGCCCCGUUUAUCAACUGAUCCAGAUUGCUCUGUCCUCUUCAUUAAUUACCACACCUCCAAAUGAAGAGCCCUUGUUGUCAUUCUCAGGGACAAGAAUUGAAUGGGCCAUGAAGAAAAAUACCAUUUCGCCUCUCUUGGUACUCCUUCCAUUGCAGAGUCAAAGCACAUUAUUUGGACAGUAUGAAGAACCACAUGAAGGAAGCCUGCUCAGUUGCUGCUUAUGUUGUAGCUGACAGAUCAAGCAAUUACUGACUGCUUCCCUGAAUCCCCCUGUAACUUCACAUGGCUGUCUCCUGCGCUUCCUGCUUGAAUCUGUCAUGUAGAGCCCCUGUUCAGCGUUAAACACCUUGCUUGUUCUACCCCAGAGAUGGCUGAAUUUCAGAGGUACUGUGUGGGCCCCAUCAGUGAGGCGUCUGACCACCUGUCCUGACACAAUAAAAGUUCAGAUACUAAGUCUGAGCUCCAAAAUACCUACUGCCCCACGUCCGUACCCUUGGACCCAGCCCUAAGUGUGUAGCCCUAUGACACAGCAAUUGCUUGCUCCCUGGGUUACAGAACAGAACUCUUCAUGCAUGGGACACAGAUGUAUACAGUGCUAGCACAUCGAAGGACUUGACCUGAAAGAUAAGCAUCAGGAAACAAGAAGAGUUUGAAAGACUGUGGGAAAUCCCUUAAUAUUCAAGAAACAGUCUACCUUUCUCAGUGUAACUGUGAGCCAAAAACCACCAAACUGUAGCUCCCCUGUUUUUGGUGAAGUUCCCUAAAACUGAAAUAAUUUGAGUUUGUCUGAG